GACGAACGCUGGCGGCGUGGAUUAGGCAUGCAAGUCGAACGGUAUCAUCCUUUCGGGGGUGAGAGAGUGGCGAACUGGUGAGUAACACGUAGGUUAUCUACCCUCAAGACGGGGACAACCCAGGGAAACUUGGGCUAAUACCGGAUGUGAGCAACUUUUAGUUGUUUGAAAGGUGGCGUAAGCUGUCGCUUGGGGAUGAGCCUGCGUCCUAUUAGUUAGUUGGUGAGGUAACGGCUCACCUAGGCAAUGAUAGGUAGGCGGCCUUAACGGGUGGUCGCCCACACUGGGAUUGAGAUACGGCCCAGACUCCUACGGGAGGCAGCAGUCGAGAAUAGUCUACAAUGGUCGGAAGACUGAUAGUGCGACGCCGCGUGAACGAUGAAUCCCUUCGGGGUGUAAAGUUCUUUUAUAUGUGAGCAGUGCUUCUUAUAUUAACAGUAUGGGGAGAGAGAUAUUAGCAUAUGAAUAAGCAACGGCUAACUCCGUGCCAGCAGCCGCGGUAUCUCG
Molecule: ribosomal RNA, 507 nt
Filed under: uncultured bacterium
Lineage: Bacteria
Description: bacterial SSU rRNA
Rfam family: Bacterial small subunit ribosomal RNA
Source: RNAcentral